GGCGCCAUGGUGCAACGGUUAGCACAUCACCCUUUCAAGGUGGAAAUACGGGUUCGAUUCCCGUUGGCGCUGCCA
RNAcentral lists this transfer RNA (75 nucleotides) under Acidobacteria bacterium 13_1_20CM_2_60_10. RNAcentral's name for it is "tRNA-Glu". It matches the Rfam family "tRNA". From Rfam's summary of the family: Transfer RNA (tRNA) molecules are approximately 80 nucleotides in length. Their secondary structure includes four short double-helical elements and three loops (D, anti-codon, and T loops). The record is from RNAcentral. RNAcentral also lists the same sequence under 4 other names. Lineage: Bacteria; Pseudomonadati; Acidobacteriota.